RNAcentral lists this long non-coding RNA (785 nucleotides) under Numida meleagris (helmeted guineafowl). Its description in RNAcentral is "lncRNA (ENSNMEG00000013702.1)". The record is from RNAcentral. Lineage: Eukaryota; Metazoa; Chordata; Aves; Galliformes; Numididae.
GCGGGGGCCGGCCCUGGCCGCUCCGCCUAUUGGGACUGGGGGGCCUGGGCCAGCCGUCGGCGCGGUGAUAAUGGGGCGCUGCCGUCUGGAGCCCCACGGCCACUGAAACCGCAGUGACACGACAUCGGUGGAAGGGACAGAGCAUUUCCAGGAGCAUCUACGCAGUCCAUGGCACCACGGGACUGGGUUGUAGGCACAGUUGGAAGGCGGCUUGGCAGCUUAAAACCCGGUGCCGUGCACCCGCUGGUCCAGUGCGGGUUUUAUAAAUGACGGAAACACAGCGGUAGUGAGCAAGCAGCGAACGGCUCCCAGAGCUCUGACGCCUCGGGGUAUCCCCGAUGCAGGGGCCGAACCGCUGUCUGAGGAGGGGCACCUGCCCCAGCCCAGCCAGGAGCCGGGGUUCGUUUCACCCCUGUUCGCACACACGCGCCAGCCCUACAUCUCCCUUACACCAGCGUCGAGGUGCUUCCGAGCCCAACUCACCGCUCCCCGAGCAGCAAGGCCCCACAUCGCUUCCCCGAAAGCUCCCGGCGCUUCCCGACCCCCCCGUGGCCCCGAGCCCCCGGCAUCCGAAAGGUGCCCGGUUCCCCUGCACCAUCGCACACCGCAAGCCGAACUCCGCCGAGCUGCCCCGAGCCCUCCGCCCCCGCCGCACGCAGCGCGGAGCCUCCCCGGGCUCACAGAGGAGCCGGGAGGACACCGCGGAGCUCCCGACCCCGCGGCUGCUGAGGGAGCAGAGCGGCGUGCGGGAUCCCGGGCGCAGAUGUGAAAGUUGCUGUGGCUGA